RNAcentral lists this ribosomal RNA (253 nucleotides) under uncultured bacterium. RNAcentral describes it as "partial 16S ribosomal RNA". It matches the Rfam family "Bacterial small subunit ribosomal RNA", at positions 524 to 776 of the family's 1533-position model. The record is from RNAcentral.
UACAGAGGGUGCGAGCGUUGUCCGGAAUCACUGGGCGUAAAGGGCGCGUAGGCGGCUUGAUAAGGUUGCGGUGAAAGCCCGGGGCUCAACCCCGGGUCGGCCGUGGCAACUGUCGAGCUGGAGCACUGUAGAGGCAGGUGGAAUUCCGGGUGUAGCGGUGGAAUGCGUAGAGAUCCGGAAGAACACCGGUGGCGAAGGCGGCCUGCUGGGCAGUGGCUGACGCUGAGACGCGAAAGCGUGGGGAGCAAACAGG